This 1381-nucleotide ribosomal RNA is filed under the name metagenome. RNAcentral's name for it is "bacterial SSU rRNA". It matches the Rfam family "Bacterial small subunit ribosomal RNA". The record is from RNAcentral.
AAUACAUGCAAGUCGAGCGCUCACUUCGGUGAGAGCGGCGAACGGGUGAGUAACACGUUAGGACCUGCCCCGGACUCAGGGAUAACCCGGCUAAAGCCGGGCUAAUACCGGAUAGUCCCGCAAGGGUAAAGCUUUUGCGGUCCGGGAGGGACUUACGGCCUAUCAGCUUGUUGGUGGGGUAAUGGCCUACCAAGGCAAUGACGGGUAGCUGGUCUGAGAGGAUGACCAGUCACAAUGGGACUGAGACACGGCCCAUACUCCUACGGGAGGCAGCAGUAAAGAAUCUUUCGCAAUGGGGGAAACCCUGACGAAGCAAUACCGCGUGGGUGACGACGGCCGAAAGGUUGUAAAGCCCUUUUCUGGAGGAAGAAUUCUGACGGUACUCCAGGAAUAAGCACCGGCUAACUCCGUGCCAGCAGCCGCGGUAAUACGGAGGGUGCAAGCGUUAUCCGGAAUUAUUGGGCGUAAAGGGUCCGUAGGCGGUUUAUUAAGUCGAAUAUUAAAUCUUAAGGCCCAACUUUAAGGCUGUAUUCGAAACUGCUAAACUAGAGUAUUUCAGGGGCAUGCGGAAUUCUGUGUGUAGGGGUAAAAUCCGUAGAUACACAGAGGAACAUCAAAAGCGAAGGCAGCAUGCUGGGAAAUUACUGACGCUCAGGGACGAAAGCGUGGGUAGCAACGGGAUUAGAUACCCCGGUAGUCCACGCCGUAAACGAUGGAUACUAGUUGUUGGAGGACUCGACCCCUUCAGUGACGACGCUAACGCAUUAAGUAUCCCGCCUGUGGAGUACGACCGCAAGGUUAAAACAUAAAGGAAUAGACGGGGACCCACACAAGCGGUGGAGCACCUGGUUUAAUUCGAUAAUGAGCGAGGAACCUUACCUAGGUUUGACAUCCCGAGAAUUUUCUAGAAAUAGAGAAGUGCCUUAUGGAACUCGGUGACAGGAGCUGCAUGGUUGUCGUCAGCUCGUGCCUUGAGGUGUUCGGUUAAGUCCGUGAACGAGCGCAACCCAUGUCCUAUGUUGUAUUUUUCAUAGGAGACUGCCGAUUCAAAGUCGGAGGAAGGUAUGGAUGACGUCAAAUCAGCAUGGCCCUUAUGCCUAGGGCUACACAGGUGCUACAAUGGCUGGUACAAUGGGCAGCAAUAUCGUAAGAUGGAGCCAAUCCACAAAACCAGUCUAAGUUCGAAUUGAGGGCUGCAACUCGCCCUCAUGAAGUUGGAAUCGCUAGUAACCGCGGAUCAGCAAUGGCGCGGUGAAUCUGUUCCUGGGUCUUGUACUCACCGCCCGUCACGUCAUGAAAGGUGGAGGCGCCCGAAGUACCCUUAGCUUUUAGCGGGGUCCUAAGGUGAAACCACUGAUUGGGACGAAGUCGUAACAAGGUA